RNAcentral lists this unclassified non-coding RNA (2366 nucleotides) under Leguminivora glycinivorella. RNAcentral's name for it is "uncharacterized LOC125240254, transcript variant X1". The record is from RNAcentral. Lineage: Eukaryota; Metazoa; Arthropoda; Insecta; Lepidoptera; Tortricidae.
UCAAAUUAUAUCAUAUGAGGUUUCACUUUUAUGUGAUUGAUAUUCACAUAUGUAAUUUGAAGUAAUAAAUAGUAGUUCAUGGUUAAAAUAAUGUCAAUUUAUUACUGAUCAAAUAUAAAACUCACAUACAAAUUAUUAUAUGAGCCUCUUGGACUUCCCAAGAGAUAUGAGUGGACAUGGACACUGAAUAACUAAAAUAGAGCUAAUGUGUCAAUGUUUUAGAAAUAAAAUAGAACAGGCUAGCAUGACCACCAAGGGCCUGUGAUGUCCAAGUAGAAGGAUUGAGGUGAUAUGUAUUGUUAACAAGAUCAUGUCACUCAUGUCAUUGAUUUAUUAUACUGUUUUGCUAGAAUGUGGCAUACGGAUAUAAAAGAGUGUGUGAGUUGACUUAUCCUCACUUUUGUCAUCUUUGAGUCAGGUACCAACUGUUAAUGUUGACAGUGCUAUAUCAGGCAGUAAUAUGAAUGAAUAAAAUAGACAGGGCACAUGAUUAUGUUAUGAUUUUUGCAGAACAUCUAAACCUUAAUUGUUGGUCAUAUGAUGUGAUGGAAAAUUAUUAUUUCCUUUUUGUAUGAGAGCAAAGUCUUGAUUAGUGAUGAAAAUUAUUGGGUUAUCUAUAAUCACAUUGCCCCAGGUUAGAUGAUACAUCUAAGUUCAGCUUCAAGCGUUCAUGAGAGAAUCAAGUUAAUGAGUGAAGGGAAAUAAUGUUACUUAUUUAAUUUUGACAAAUUAUAUUUGUAUCUAAUUUAUGUGAAAUGUUAUAUGUUGUUAGAAUUCAAAAUGGCUUCACAUUGCUCCAGCUGCAUGAUGGGAGUUGUCACCAAACUGUAUGGUGCAAGGAAUUAUUGGCUGUGAAGUAAAUAUUUGAUGAGAAGCAACUGAAGGUAAAAUGUUAAUGGUUGCCAAGUUUGAUGAUACAGCAUCAAAGACUGACACAAGUUGAGUAUUUUUAACUAAAGUUCUUUGUUUGAAUAAUUUGAAGUAUAAAAUUGUCAAUGUCAUGGGACAAGUGCAACGAAUGUACUACUAACUGGUAAAAAGAUAAAUACACAAUAAAAUAUUGAUGUAUCAAUUUGCAUAGAACAAUUACAUGUCUUGAAAUGGAAGUGAUUUUAAUAGAACAAUUGAUAUCUUGGUAUAGCUAAACCAUGUUGGAAUACCUAAAGUCAACACUGUGAGCACAUGUUUAAAAAAAAAAAGAUAUCAAUAUUCUUGAUAGAGUAUCUGAAUUUGAGUACCUAUCUCAUGGUCGUUCAUCGGGUUGCAUAGGUAUCAGUCUGUUCGAAGCUGUCAUCAUUAUUACCCCUAUAAAAUGCUUCAUAGAUGAGCACAGGUCUCUCUCCUCGAAAUUCAUAUAUAUAAUUAAUUCUAAAGAGACAGAUAAAUUACAUUAAAAAAAAAAAAAAUAGUAAGGGUUGUACCUUACCUAAAUUCGUGCGACUAAUCUAAACAUAGAAUGUUAUGGCGAACACAGUUAUUGCCUAAGAAUUGUGGUUACAGAAUAUACUGGCAGGAGUCUGCUCGCCUAUGCGGCGAUGCGAGUCUGCACGCCUGAGCGGCGGUGCCAGUCUGCUCGCCUAUGCGGCGGUGCGAGUCUGCACGCCUGCGAUGCGGUGCCAGUCUGCUCGCCUAUGCGGCGGUGUGAGUCUGCUCGCCUACGAGGCGGUGCCAGUCUGCUCGCCUAUGAGGCGGUGCCAGUCUGCUCGCCUAUGCGGCGGUGCGAGUCUGCACGCCUGCGAGGCGGUGCAAGUCUGCUCGCCUAUGCGGCGGUGCGAGUCUGCUCGCCUACGAGGCGGUGCCAGUCUGCUCGCCUAUGCGGCGGUGCGAGUCUGCACGCCUGCGAGGCGGUGCAAGUCUGCUCGCCUAUGCGGCGGUGCGAGUCUGCUCGCCUACGAGGCGGUGUGAGUCUGCUCGCCUACGAGGCGGUGUGAAUCUGCACGCCUGCGAGGCGGUGCAAGUCUGCUCGCCUACGAGGCGGUGCAAGUCUGCUCGCCUACGAGGCGGUGUGAGUCUGCUCGCCUGCGAGGCAGUCUAUCGGAUAUGCUGAGCUCCAAUCGGCUGCGACACAAGUCUGAUGGAACGACUUGGAAGGCGCAGAAGGUGCAGGAGUUCUGUGGUGCUGCUGCUGGUCUUCGUGGGCGAAGAAUUCUCAUCAGGGAGGCCGAGCUAAUAACCGAUUGUGGUGCUUGCUAUGUCAAGCCCUACGGUCGGUGUCGCGUCACUAGUUGGCGCGGGUGGAGCUGUCAGAGGAUCGUCCGCCAUUACCGCGUCGUGCUAUGAAUUGUCCCAAGCUACGCUCUGUUUUCUAAGUGUUAUGUAUUAAAACCUGUAUUUGAUGAUGUCUGGUGUUUUCCCCUUUAACAAUA